This 447-nucleotide ribosomal RNA is filed under the name uncultured Pseudomonadota bacterium. RNAcentral's name for it is "bacterial SSU rRNA". It matches the Rfam family "Bacterial small subunit ribosomal RNA", at positions 302 to 741 of the family's 1533-position model. Lineage: Bacteria; Pseudomonadati; Pseudomonadota. The record is from RNAcentral.
GACCAGCCACACUGGAACUGAGACACGGUCCAGACUCCUACGGGAGGCAGCAGUGGGGAAUAUUGCACAAUGGGCGCAAGCCUGAUGCAGCCAUGCCGCGUGUAUGAAGAAGGCCUUCGGGUUGUAAAGUACUUUCAGCGGGGAGGAAGGGAGUAAAGUUAAUACCUUUGCUCAUUGACGUUACCCGCAGAAGAAGCACCGGCUAACUCCGUGCCAGCAGCCGCGGUAAUACGGAGGGUGCAAGCGUUAAUCGGAAUUACUGGGCGUAAAGCGCACGCAGGCGGUUUGUUAAGUCAGAUGUGAAAUCCCCGGGCUCAACCUGGGAACUGCAUCUGAUACUGGCAAGCUUGAGUCUCGUAGAGGGGGGUAGAAUUCCAGGUGUAGCGGUGAAAUGCGUAGAGAUCUGGAGGAAUACCGGUGGCGAAGGCGGCCUCCUGGACGAAGACU